GACGUAGGUGGCAAGCGUUGUCCGGAAUUACUGGGCGUAAAGCGUGCGCAGGCGGUUUUGUAAGACAGUGGUGAAAUCCCCGGGCUCAACCUGGGAACUGCCGUUGUGACUGCAAAGCUAGAGUGCGGCAGAGGGGGAUGGAAUUCCGCGUGUCGCAGUGAAAUGCGUAGAUAUGCAGAGGAACACCGAUGGCGAAGGCAAUCCCCUGGGCCUGCACUGACGCUCAUGCACGAAAGCGUGGGGAGCAAACAGGAUUAGAUACCCUGGUAGUCCACGCCCUAAACGAUGUCAACUGGUUGUUGGGUCUUAACUGACUCAGUAACGAAGCUAACGCGUGAAGUUGACCGCCUGGGGAGUACGGCCGCAAGGUUGAA
RNAcentral lists this ribosomal RNA (374 nucleotides) under uncultured bacterium. Its description in RNAcentral is "bacterial SSU rRNA". It matches the Rfam family "Bacterial small subunit ribosomal RNA", at positions 524 to 898 of the family's 1533-position model. The record is from RNAcentral.